UGACUAUUCUCUCUGUUCCAAAAUCCUUGUCUUAUAUUUGUCUAGAAAUGGAUGUAUCUAAAUAAUAAUACAUGACUAGAUACAUUCAUAUCUAGAUAAAUCAAAGACAAGAAUUUUGGAACGCAAGGAGUACUUU
Hordeum vulgare subsp. vulgare (domesticated barley) is the source of this 136-nucleotide non-coding RNA. NCBI's taxonomy places the organism in Eukaryota, Viridiplantae, Streptophyta, Magnoliopsida, Poales, Poaceae. The record is from Rfam.